GAGUUUGAUCCUGGCUCAGGAUGAACGCUGGCGGCGUGCCUAAUACAUGCAAGUCGAGCGCGUGAAAUUAAACAGAUCUCUUCGGAGUGACGUUUAAUGGAUCGAGCGGCGGAUGGGUGAGUAACACGUGGGCAACCUGCCUAUAAGACUGGGAUAACUUACGGAAACGUGAGCUAAUACCGGAUAAAACCUUUUGUCUCCCGACAAGAGGAUAAAAGAUGGCGCAAGCUAUCACUUAUAGAUGGGCCCGCGGCGCAUUAGCUAGUUGGUGAGAUAAAAGCUCACCAAGGCAACGAUGCGUAGCCGACCUGAGAGGGUGAUCGGCCACACUGGGACUGAGACACGGCCCAGACUCCUACGGGAGGCAGCAGUAGGGAAUCUUCCGCAAUGGACGAAAGUCUGACGGAGCAACGCCGCGUGAACGAAGAAGGUCUUCGGAUCGUAAAGUUCUGUUGUUAGGGAAGAACACGUACCAUUCGAAUAGGGUGGUACCUUGACGGUACCUAACGAGAAAGCCCCGGCUAACUACGUGCCAGCAGCCGCGGUAAUACGUAGGGGGCGAGCGUUGUCCGGAAUCACUGGGCGUAAAGGGCGUGUAGGCGGCCUGUUAAGUCAGCGUGAAAACCCCGGGCUUAACCUGGGGACUGCGCUUGAAACUGGCGGGCUUGAGGGCAGGAGAGGAAAGUGGAAUUCCCGGUGUAGCGGUGAUAUGCGUAGAUACCAGGAAGGAACACCAGUGGCGAAGCGGCUUUCUGGACUGCACCUGACGCUGAGCGCGAAAGCCAGGGAGCGAACGGGAUUAGAUACCCCGGUAGUCCUGGGCCGUAAACGAUGGGUACUACGUGUGGGANUAUCGACUCCUUCCGUGNCGGAGUUACACAAUAAGUACCCCNCUGGGGAGUACGGCCGCAAGGCUGAAACUCAAAGGAAUUGACGGGGGCCCGCACAAGCGGUGGAGCAUGUGGUUUAAUUCGAUGCAACGCGAAGAACCUUACCAGGUCUUGACAUCUUCCUGCCAGGUAUGGAAACAUACCCUUCCUUCGGGACAGGAAGAUAGGUGGUGCAUGGCUGUCGUCAGCUCGUGUCGUGAGAUGUUGGGUUAAGUCCCGCAACGAGCGCAACCCUCAUCCUUAGUUGCCAGCGGUCCGGCCGGGCACUCUAAGGAGACUGCCAGUGACAAACUGGAGGAAGGUGAGGAUGACGUCAAGUCAUCAUGCCCCUUAUGACCUGGGCCACACACGUGCUACAAUGGCCGGUACAGAGCGCUGCGAACCCGCGAGGGGGAGCGAAUCGCAAAAAGCCGGUCCCAGUUCGGAUUGCAGGCUGAAACUCGCCUGCAUGAAGCCGGAGUUGCUAGUAAUCGCGAAUCAGCAUGUCGCGGUGAAUACGUUCCCGGGCCUUGUACACACCGCCCGUCACACCAUGAGAGUUGGCAAUACCCGAAGUCCGUGGGGCAACCAGCAAUGGAGCCAGCGGCCGAAGGUAGGGUCAGCGAUUGGGGUGAAGUCGUAACAAGGUAACCAUCUUCUAGAAGAUCUCCCUACAAAA
This 1548-nucleotide ribosomal RNA is filed under the name uncultured bacterium. Its description in RNAcentral is "partial 16S ribosomal RNA". It matches the Rfam family "Bacterial small subunit ribosomal RNA". The record is from RNAcentral.